Molecule: ribosomal RNA, 504 nt
Filed under: uncultured bacterium
Lineage: Bacteria
Description: partial 16S ribosomal RNA
Rfam family: Bacterial small subunit ribosomal RNA
Source: RNAcentral
AUUGAACGCUGGCGGCAUGCCUUACACAUGCAAGUCGAACGGCAGCAUGGAGAGCUUGCUCUCUGAUGGCGAGUGGCGAACGGGUGAGUAAUGCAUCGGAACGUACCGUGUAAUGGGGGAUAACGUAGCGAAAGUUACGCUAAUACCGCAUACGACCUGAGGAUGAAAGCAGGGGAUCACAAGACCUUGCGUUAUACGAGCGGCCGAUGUCAGAUUAGCUAGUUGGUGAGGUAAAGGCUCACCAAGGCGACGAUCUGUAGCGGGUCUGAGAGGAUGAUCCGCCACACUGGGACUGAGACACGGCCCAGACUCCUACGGGAGGCAGCAGUGGGGAAUUUUGGACAAUGGGGGCAACCCUGAUCCAGCCAUGCCGCGUGAGUGAAGAAGGCCUUCGGGUUGUAAAGCUCUUUCGGCCGGGAAGAAAUCGCACAGGCUAAUACUCUGUGUGGAUGACGGUACCGGCAUAAGAAGCACCGGCUAACUACGUGCCAGCCGCCGCAGUAA